GGGUCAGUAGGUUGGUCGUGCCACCGGUACGUACUGGUCUCACUGAUUCCUCCUUCCUGAAGAACCGUAAUGCCAUUAAUUUGGUGUUGUGGGGAAACAGGACUGUUACUUUGAAAGAAUUAGAGUGUUUAAAGCAAGCUAACGCUUGAAUACAUUAGCAUGGAAUAAUGAAAUAGGACGAUCGAUCCUAUUUUGUUGGUUUCUAGGAUUGACGUA
RNAcentral lists this ribosomal RNA (216 nucleotides) under Glomeromycotina sp. Its description in RNAcentral is "partial small subunit ribosomal RNA". The stretch from base 40 to 216 matches the Rfam family "Eukaryotic small subunit ribosomal RNA", at positions 686 to 864 of the family's 1831-position model. The record is from RNAcentral. Lineage: Eukaryota; Fungi; Glomeromycota.